AGAUCUGUAGUAUAUGACUAUAGUGCGUCCAUUACGUGUCGUAAACAUAGCUUUUGCUCAAGCGGUGUUUAAGGUUAGAAGAAAGCAAAUUUAAAUUAAACCAUGGCAGAUGUAUUAGAUAUUGAUAAUGCAGAAGAAUUUGAAGUUGAUGAUGAAGGCGAUCAGGGUAUUGCACGUUUGAAGGAAAAGGCGAAGAGAAGGAAAGGUAGAGGACAUGGCGCAGAGUUGGUUUCUACUCGUGACGAUGUUGGUCAUUAUGAGUCGAUGAACAUUGUUGAAGAAGAUGACGAUGAACCGGGUCCACAAAGAUCUGUAGAAGGAUGGAUUUUGUUUAUAAAUUCAGUACACGAAGAAGCACAAGAAGAUGAUAUUCAAGACAAAUUCUCAGAAUUUGGACAAAUUAAAAAUCUGCACUUAAAUUUGGAUCGAAGGACAGGAUUCUUAAAAGGAUAUGCUUUAGUUGAAUAUGAAACGUUUAAAGAAGCACAAGCAGCAAAAGAUGCUUUAAAUGGAACAGAAAUUUUAGGACAACCUAUCUCAGUCGAUUGGUGCUUUGUUAAAGGACCUAAAAAGAUAAAGAAGAGAAGCCAUAGAAGGCGAUGAGAUUUUAUUAAUUAAGACUUCUAUUUUCUUCAUAUACAACUAUUUGAGCUAAGAAAGAUUGUUUUUCACAUUAAUUGUAAAAAAGAAGCGGAUUAUUACAAAUUUUACAGUUUCCACCAAAAACUGAUUACUCAUACAGUGUAAACUUUGUUCAGUUACAAUUACUGUGUAUGAAAAUUAAAUGCUAGAUUGCGGCAUGAAACUGAUCUCCAUCUACUAGCGCAUAUUGCAAGAAGAUUGAGAUUAAUUAUUUGAAGAGAACUAUGGUUUUGAAGAACGUUGAUAUGCAGUUCCAUUAGACAUCCUUCACAUCUCACCGCAGUGCAGCGUAUGAAGCUA
Megachile rotundata (alfalfa leafcutting bee) is the source of this 942-nucleotide unclassified non-coding RNA. Lineage: Eukaryota; Metazoa; Arthropoda; Insecta; Hymenoptera; Megachilidae. The record is from RefSeq and is a predicted model, not a curated record.